RNAcentral lists this ribosomal RNA (229 nucleotides) under uncultured bacterium. Its description in RNAcentral is "partial 16S ribosomal RNA". It matches the Rfam family "Bacterial small subunit ribosomal RNA", at positions 104 to 334 of the family's 1533-position model. The record is from RNAcentral.
CGGGGUGAGUAAUGUCUGGGAAACUGCCUGAUGGAGGGGGAUAACUACUGGAAACGGUAGCUAAUACCGCAUAAUGUCGCAAGACCAAAGAGGGGGACCUUAGGGCCUCUUGCCAUCGGAUGUGCCCAGAUGGGAUUAGCUAGUAGGUGGGGUAACGGCUCACCUAGGCGACGAUCCCUAGCUGGUCUGAGAGGAUGACCAGCCACACUGGAACUGAGACACGGUCCAG